CCUCAACAAUCCCUGGGUGCCCUUUCCAUUCAGCUAGGAGCAUCUGCACCCCUUUGUGGCAGCAGCUGUUUCGUUAUCACCGCUGAGCUCUUCAUGUGGUGCAGAGCCAGCCCAGGGAGGCGUCUCCUGCUCGCCUCUCUCGCUGUGGACCCAGAACCUGAGUGUCCAGCUGGGUAUCUCUGGCUCUGAAAAGGGGCUUGGAGCAGCCUGCAGGGACAGGGUUGUUUUACCAGACAGGGAAGACACAGCUGGAGGUGCAGCAGCAGUGCCACGGUGCCUUCUUGUAACAUGCUGGGCCAAGCCGCCUCCAGCCACAGCUCCCAUGGGACGUUGGAUAGAGCACAGAGCAGAUCCCCCUGCAUCACCACGGGCUGGGGGGCUCAGC
RNAcentral lists this long non-coding RNA (385 nucleotides) under Cyanistes caeruleus (blue tit). RNAcentral's name for it is "lncRNA (ENSCCEG00000020956.1)". The record is from RNAcentral. Lineage: Eukaryota; Metazoa; Chordata; Aves; Passeriformes; Paridae.